UUAUCAUGCAAUUUAAGUUCAAGUUCGGUCAAAUCCACCUAAGGUCUCACGCUAAGGAUGGCAAGUCCACCUAAUCCCCCCUCAAGCUUAUAGGACAAAAGGAACCACCACUGGGUUAUUUCCUAACCGCCUUAUACCAAGAUCAAGAGAGUUUAAAAUCAAAUCUAUUCUUCCCAUUUUUUUUCAUUCAUUUUUUUUUUCACAUUUACGAGCGUAGACGUUGCUUUCCCUAAUCCCAGAGGUAUUCCGGCUGUAGAGUCGCUAUCCCCAACCACAGAUUACGUAGGCCUCGGUACUUUUUUUAUUUAUUUUUGCAAGGUCGAUUUCACACACCCUAGCGGUAAUCUGGCUGUAGAUACCAUGGGCCAGCUGUGGUACACUCACCUAAAUCAAGAACCCUAAUCCGACUCUAUUAUGU
This 418-nucleotide long non-coding RNA is filed under the name Helianthus annuus (common sunflower). RNAcentral's name for it is "sRNA HanXRQr2_Chr14g0629281". The record is from RNAcentral. Lineage: Eukaryota; Viridiplantae; Streptophyta; Magnoliopsida; Asterales; Asteraceae.